AAGAGGGAACCCGGUGCGAAUCCGGGACUGUCCCGCAGCGGUGAGUGGGAACGAAAGCCGUCACCAGCACUGGGCCCCGGACGGGCCUGGGAAGCGACGGCCGGUAGGUGCCCGCCGGUGAUCCGGUGGGCGAGCCCGCGAGUCCGAAGACCU
Molecule: non-coding RNA, 153 nt
Filed under: Streptomyces rubrolavendulae
Lineage: Bacteria; Bacillati; Actinomycetota; Actinomycetes; Kitasatosporales; Streptomycetaceae
Source: RNAcentral